Molecule: ribosomal RNA, 441 nt
Filed under: uncultured bacterium
Lineage: Bacteria
Description: bacterial SSU rRNA
Rfam family: Bacterial small subunit ribosomal RNA
Source: RNAcentral
GUGGGGAAUAUUGCGCAAUGGACGAAAGUCUGACGCAGCGACGCCGCGUGUGGGAUGAAGCCUUUCGGGGUGUAAACCACUGUUGCCCGGGACGAAAAGCCCUUUCGAGGGAAUUGACGGUACCGGGUGAGGAAGCACCGGCUAACUCUGUGCCAGCAGCCGCGGUAAUACAGAGGGUGCGAGCGUUGUCCGGAAUCACUGGGCGUAAAGGGCGCGUAGGUGGCUUGGUAAGCGUGUGGUGAAAGUCCGGGGCUCAACCCCGGAUCUGCCGUGCGAACUGCUGAGCUCGAGCACUGUAGAGGCAGGUGGAAUUCCGGGUGUAGCGGUGGAAUGCGUAGAUAUCCGGAAGAACACCGGUGGCGAAGGCGGCCUGCUGGGCAGUUGCUGACACUGAGGCGCGACAGCGUGGGGAGCAAACAGGAUUAGAAACCCUAGUAGUCC